This 77-nucleotide transfer RNA is filed under the name Lentisphaeria bacterium. RNAcentral describes it as "tRNA-His". It matches the Rfam family "tRNA". From Rfam's summary of the family: Transfer RNA (tRNA) molecules are approximately 80 nucleotides in length. Lineage: Bacteria; Pseudomonadati; Lentisphaerota; Lentisphaeria. The record is from RNAcentral.
GUGGUUGUAGCUCAGUUGGUUAGAGCGCCUGGUUGUGGCCCAGGAGGUCGCGGGUUCGAGUCUCGUCUACCACCCCA